RNAcentral lists this ribosomal RNA (253 nucleotides) under uncultured bacterium. RNAcentral describes it as "partial 16S ribosomal RNA". It matches the Rfam family "Bacterial small subunit ribosomal RNA", at positions 524 to 776 of the family's 1533-position model. The record is from RNAcentral.
UACGGGGGGGGCAAGCGUUGUUCGGAAUUACUGGGCGUAAAGGGCUCGUAGGCGGCCAACUAAGUCAUACGUGAAAUCCCUCGGCUUAACCGGGGAACUGCGUCUGAUACUGGAUGGCUUGAGUUCGGGAGAGGGAUGCGGAAUUCCAGGUGUAGCGGUGAAAUGCGUAGAUAUCUGGAGGAACACCGGUGGCGAAGGCGGCAUCCUGGACCGGCAUUGACGCUGAUGAGCGAAAGCUAGGGGAGCAAACGGG